Long non-coding RNA from Capsicum annuum, 2901 nucleotides. RefSeq lists it as uncharacterized. The record is from RefSeq and is a predicted model, not a curated record. The transcript is spliced from 3 exons. Lineage: Eukaryota; Viridiplantae; Streptophyta; Magnoliopsida; Solanales; Solanaceae.
UAAAAAUAUUCAACAAACUUAAAGUGUUUUUUUAAAAUUUAAAACAAUUUUAGUGAUAUGUUUGUCUUUUUUCUAAAAUAAAAAUAUGAAGUAAGACAAAGAAGAAAGAAGAAACCUUAAAAACCCAAAGAAGAGCACUAGUAGCAACCAGCCCAGCCAGCAGGAUCGAAUUUCCUCAUUAGCGUAAACAGAAGUUGAAGCUGAACCUUGACCAUCCUAAAUUGAGUGGAGAAAAAAGUGUGCAAAAUGCUAUAACUGAAGUAGCUGCAAUGAUGGGGGAGAAUGUCAAACUAAGAAGAGGGUUUGCAGUGUCUGCUCCAUCAUUUGGUGUGAUAUCAACGUAUCAACAUACAAGCCCUCAUCCAGGUGUUGGAUGUAUUGCCGGGAUGUUAUCACUUGAAGUAGAAGAUAAGAAUGUCUCACAAGAUGCACUUCAGCUUGUUGGAUCAUGAUACCAAACGGCAUCUACAACACUAAAACAGUCCGCAGACAACCCACAAUCACAAGCCUUCACCCGCAACAACAAGACAACAACACGAUACGAGAAGCAAACAUAAACUUAAAGAGUAAAAGAUAGCUAACUUGACACAAAGAGAACCCAUUAGGUAGCAACUAAAGAGUGUAUCAAAACUCUAAAACCUCUACAAAACAAGUUAACAAGUAUCAAGUUCUUGCAGUGACCGCCAAGGGAAUCAACUCACCUCAAGAUCCACCGUUUCCAAGCAAAGAACAAUAUUGGCCUUUCCAAGCCCUACACUAAUGGCUUAUCCAAGCCCUACGCUAAGGAUGUUACUCUCUCAAAGGGAGAAGAAGACUUUCAUAUAUUUAUCCUUCAAAAACUAAAGAGCAAAUGACUUAAUAGAAGACUAUAUAGAGGCUAGCUUAUUACAUAACAAAAAUGACCACAAUACCCUUAAUGAAAGGGGUGGCCAUGAAGCGUCUUUCUAACAAAGUGUGAUCCCCAAACCACCCUUAAUGAAGGUUUCUUCUUCAAUGCUCCACAAUGUAGGGUCAUUCUUCAACACUUGUAGUCUCGAGUUGGCAUCAAAGGUAAGCCCCCACGCAAUCUUCCACACACAGGUUUACCUUAUGUCAUGCUCAAAACGGGUCCUCCAUGCAUGUUCUUGUGUCCGUGACCAAGUAUUGAGUCUUUAUGCGUUGGCAUCCAAUGACGUCUUCAAAAGCAUAGAUGUCCAUUUGGAUCGUAUCAUCCUUCCCUUCUUGAAAAGGAUUCGACCUCGAAUCCAUACCUUGUAAAACUAAAGAAAGGACAAACAAGCACAACUUCCUCAUGGCAUAAGGGUUAGGGUUAGUACAACAAAUAACAUCAUCAUGCCAAGGUGGUACAUACUUAAGAUAUAACCAUGAAUCCUUUGUAUUAGUCAAGAAAAGUUUAGUAAGAAUGUUACAAGGGAAAUGGCUAUGACAAGUAUCAAGCGAUAAAGAAACUACAAAGGUCGUAAUGGUAUCACUAAGUCCAAAAAGUAAGGCUACCCUUGUCUUAGGAACCAUAAAGCACAAUUGUUUCAUUACCUCUUCAAGUGGCCUCAUCAAAUGUGGUGCCACUAUUGGUAUCAAAGUCCACCAAUCCCACAUAAUUUUGUCAUUCAAACAAGUGGGCCAACCAAUAAAACCUAUACCUCUACUUAAUGCAAACCCAAAACUAGCAUGGGUGUCAUCAUAGGCAAAGAGGUAGUAUAGGAAAGAAUCAAGUAUAAAGACAUCCAAGGGUGAAGGCAAAGCAUUUAAGAACAUACACUCUCUUUUCUUCAAACAAAUAGACAACUUGGCAUCCACAAGUUGGGAUUCAUACAAUUUAAGCAAAAGUGUGUUAAGUAAGGAUGCAUAUUUAGAAACAUUACCCCAAUGAAUCAAUGACACCUUUGCCCUCUGGUUGUCAAGAAGGACUAUACAUUCCUUAUCCUUAAGAGUACUCUCAUCUUGCAAAAAGAGAUUUCCAUCUUUAGGACUAAUGUUGUCACACCAUAAUGGGUUAGCAUAUAGGCUAUAGACUUCAAGACAAUCUAUACUAUCAUUCUCACCACUAGGUUCAUUGGGAGUGAUUAUACCAUCUUCAAACAAGACAUUAUACCUAAAGAGAGCAUGAUCUAUCCUGCAGGUAGAUUUGGAACAAGUAAGUUCACUCUCUAAAAGUUCAUUAUCAAGUUUUAAAGAUGUUUAAAGCACAUGAUUAUCCCUAUGAGCCAAGCAAAUAUUAGAAUCAAAGGGCAAGCUCGCGGGUUCACUCCUAUUCCUUUGAUCAACAUUUUCAACAUCAUCACACACUUGAGAUUCAUUAAUCAUAUCACACACAUCCUCAAGUGUUGAAAAAUUUUCAAACAAAAGUUGAUCAACAUAAAUUUCACAAGACGAUGUACUUUCAUUCAACACUAGGUAGACAUAAAUCGAUCUUACAAGAAGGGUCGAUUCGGUCAUCAAUAGGAUCAACUAGUGUAUCCACACUUACAACAAGUACAUCAUCAUCAAGUGGAAAAGAAACAAUAGACUCACAUAUAGGCAAGCUACAACUCACACUCAAUAGGCCACUAGCCACACAAUUAUCAUUCGCAUGUACAAAAGUGUAAGAGUUAGCUAUUUUACCUUGACGUUCAUGAGUGUGUUCGUCUUUACCUCGGUGUGAAAUUCCAUCACAAUCUUGGGCAGCAACUUCCUUUGGGAAGCUCUCAUCGCAAGUUGUUUGGACAAUUGGAUUUUGAGGGAAGAGUUUGGGUAACAAUUGGUGUAUAAUUUCAAUGUGCCGUUGCAUAACUUCAAGAUCGUCAUAGAUGCGAUUACACGUGGCUUUAAAAUUAUGGGCAGUCAUGGUACCUAAAAAAAAAAAAGACAACAACAAACAAAAGAAAACAAACAAGAUUAGUAGUAAAAGCUCUUUACCAACAC